This 214-nucleotide unclassified non-coding RNA is filed under the name soil metagenome. Its description in RNAcentral is "partial contains 5.8S ribosomal RNA, internal transcribed spacer 2, and large subunit ribosomal RNA". The record is from RNAcentral.
AACCAUAGAAACCUGCGGAGUACCUGCGGAAGGAUCAUUACAGAGUUAUCCAACUCCCAAACCCAUGUGAACUUAUCUCUUUGUUGCCUCGGCGCAAGCUACCCGGGACCCAGCGCCCCGGGCGGCCCGCCGGCGGACAAACCAAAACUCUUGUUAUCUUAGUUGAUUAUCUGAGCGUCUUAUUUAAUAAGUCAAAACUUUCAACAAUGGAUCU